Molecule: ribosomal RNA, 998 nt
Filed under: uncultured archaeon
Lineage: Archaea
Description: bacterial SSU rRNA
Rfam family: Archaeal small subunit ribosomal RNA
Source: RNAcentral
UUCCGGUUGAUCCCGCCGGAGGUUACUGCUAUUGGUGUUCGACUAAGCCAUGCAAGUCAUAUGUUCCUCGUGAACAUGGCAUACUGCUCAGUAACACGUGGAUAACCUGCCCUUGGGUCUGGGAUAACCCCGGGAAACUGGGGAUAAUACCGGAUAACGCAUAUGUGCUGGAAUGCUUUAUGCGUAAAAUGGAUUCGUCCGCCCAAGGAUGGGUCUGCGGCCUAUCAGGUAGUAGUGGGUGUAAUGUACCUACUAGCCAACAACGGGUACGGGUUGUGAGAGCAAGAGCCCGGAGAUGGAUUCUGAGACGUGAAUCCAGGCCCUACGGGGCGCAGCAGGCGCGAAAACUUUACAAUGCGGGAAACCGUGAUAAGGGAACACCGAGUGCCAGCAUCAUAUGCUGGCUGUCCAGAUGUGUAAACUACAUCUGUUAGCAAGGGCCGGGCAAGACCGGUGCCAGCCGCCGCGGUAACACCGGCGGCCCGAGUGGUGACCGUUAUUAUUGGGUCUAAAGGGUCCGUAGCCGGUUUGGUCAGUCCUCCGGGAAAUCUGAUAGCUUAACUGUUAGGCUUUCGGGGGAUACUGCCAGGCUUGGAACCGGGAGAGGUAAGAGGUACUACAGGGGUAGGAGUGAAAUCUUGUAAUCCCUGUGAGACCACCUGUGGCGAAGGCGUCUUACCAGAACGGGUUCGACGGUGAGGGACGAAAGCUGGGGGCACGAACCGGAUUAGAUACCCGGGUAGUCCCAGCCGUAAACUAUGCGCGUUAGGUGUAUCGGUGACCACGAGUUACCGAGGUGCCGAAGGGAAACCGUGAAACGUGCCGCCUGGGAAGUACGGUCGCAAGGCUGAAACUUAAAGGAAUUGGCGGGGGAGCACCACAACAGGUGGAGCCUGCGGUUUAAUUGGACUCAACGCCGGGAAGCUCACCGGAUAAGACAGCAGAAUGAUUGCCGGGCUGAAGACUCUGCAUGACUAGCUGAGAGGAGGUGCAUGGCC